CCUGGCUCACGACGAACGCUGGCGGCGCGCCUAACACAUGCAAGUCGAACGAGCGAGAGAGAGCUUGCUUUCUCGAGCGAGUGGCGAACGGGUGAGUAACGCGUGAGGAACCUGCCUCAAAGAGGGGGACAACAGUUGGAAACGACUGCUAAUACCGCAUAAGCCCACGGCUCGGCAUCGAGCAGAGGGAAAAGGAGCAAUCCGCUUUGAGAUGGCCUCGCGUCCGAUUAGCUAGUUGGUGAGGUAACGGCCCACCAAGGCAACGAUCGGUAGCCGGACUGAGAGGUUGAACGGCCACAUUGGGACUGAGACACGGCCCAGACUCCUACGGGAGGCAGCAGUGGGGAAUAUUGCACAAUGGGGGAAACCCUGAUGCAGCGACGCCGCGUGGAGGAAGAAGGUCUUCGGAUUGUAAACUCCUGUUGUUGGGAAGAUAAUGACGGUACCCAACAAGGAAGUGACGGCUAACUACGUGCCAGCAGCCGCGGUAAAACGUAGGUCACAAGCGUUGUCCGGAAUUACUGGGUGUAAAGGGAGCGCAGGCGGGAAGACAAGUUGGAAGUGAAAUCUAUGGGCUCAACCCAUAAACUGCUUUCAAAACUGUUUUUCUUGAGUAGUGCAGAGGUAGGCGGAAUUCCCGGUGUAGCGGUGGAAUGCGUAGAUAUCGGGAGGAACACCAGUGGCGAAGGCGGCCUACUGGGCACCAACUGACGCUGAGGCUCGAAAGUGUGGGUAGCAAACAGGAUUAGAUACCCUGGUAGUCCACACCGUAAACGAUGAUUACUAGGUGUUGGAGGAUUGACCCCUUCAGUGCCGCAGUUAACACAAUAAGUAAUCCACCUGGGGAGUACGACCGCAAGGUUGAAACUCAAAGGAAUUGACGGGGGCCCGCACAAGCAGUGGAGUAUGUGGUUUAAUUCGACGCAACGCGAAGAACCUUACCAAGUCUUGACAUCCCUUGACGAUGCUGGAAACAGUAUUUCUCUUCGGAGCAAGGAGACAGGUGGUGCAUGGUUGUCGUCAGCUCGUGUCGUGAGAUGUUGGGUUAAGUCCCGCAACGAGCGCAACCCUUAUGGUCAGUUACUACGCAAGAGGACUCUGGCCAGACUGCCGUUGACAAAACGGAGGAAGGUGGGGAUGACGUCAAAUCAUCAUGCCCUUUAUGACUUGGGCUACACACGUACUACAAUGGCGUUAAACAAAGAGAAGCAAGACCGCGAGGUGGAGCAAAACUCAGAAACAACGUCCCAGUUCGGACUGCAGGCUGCAACUCGCCUGCACGAAGUCGGAAUUGCUAGUAAUCGUGGAUCAGCAUGCCACGGUGAAUACGUUCCCGGGCCUUGUACACACCGCCCG
This 1356-nucleotide ribosomal RNA is filed under the name uncultured bacterium. RNAcentral's name for it is "bacterial SSU rRNA". It matches the Rfam family "Bacterial small subunit ribosomal RNA", at positions 18 to 1396 of the family's 1533-position model. The record is from RNAcentral.